Molecule: ribosomal RNA, 174 nt
Filed under: Melolobium adenodes
Lineage: Eukaryota; Viridiplantae; Streptophyta; Magnoliopsida; Fabales; Fabaceae
Description: 5.8S ribosomal RNA
Rfam family: 5.8S ribosomal RNA (bases 5-160)
About the family: 5.8S ribosomal RNA (5.8S rRNA) is a component of the large subunit of the eukaryotic ribosome. It is transcribed by RNA polymerase I as part of the 45S precursor that also contains 18S and 28S rRNA.
Source: RNAcentral
GGAAGACUCUCGGCAACGGAUAUCUCGGCUCUUGCAUCGAUGAAGAACGUAGCGAAAUGCGAUACUUGGUGUGAAUUGCAGAAUCCCGUGAACCAUCGAGUCUUUGAACGCAAGUUGCGCCCGAAGCCAUUAGGCCGAGGGCACGCCUGCCUGGGUGUUGCACAUCGUUGCCCU